CAAGGUUAAGUUUUGGUGGUCAAGUCCAUAUCUCAGAUACUAUAAGCAAUAGGGCUAGUAUAUUUGGUGUAUGGAAGGACUUAAAGGUGUACAUGUCCAACUGGCAGGUGUCAUCUGACCUUGACCUCAUUUUCAUGGUUCAGUGGUUAUAGUUAAGUUUUUGUGUUUUGGUCUGUUUUUCUCAUACUUUAUGCAAUAGGUCUACUAUAUUUGUUGUAUGGAAUGAUUGUAAGGUGUACAUGU
Molecule: long non-coding RNA, 243 nt
Filed under: Mytilus galloprovincialis (Mediterranean mussel)
Lineage: Eukaryota; Metazoa; Mollusca; Bivalvia; Mytilida; Mytilidae
Source: RNAcentral